Molecule: RNase P RNA, 334 nt
Filed under: human gut metagenome
Description: Bacterial RNase P class A
Rfam family: Bacterial RNase P class A
About the family: Ribonuclease P (RNase P) is a ubiquitous endoribonuclease, found in archaea, bacteria and eukarya as well as chloroplasts and mitochondria. Its best characterised activity is the generation of mature 5'-ends of tRNAs by cleaving the 5'-leader elements of precursor-tRNAs.
Source: RNAcentral
CGGGGCGGACAGCCGCGGAUGGGAACCGAAAGGGCCCAGAUGAGGAAAGUCCGGGCUCCGCAGGGCAGGGAUAACGGGUAACGCCCGCCGAGGGUGACCUCAGGACAAGUGCAACAGAGAGAUACCGCCGGGUAAAACCGGUAAGGGUGAAAAGGUGCGGCAAGAGCGCACCCGGCUUAUGGCAACAUAAGUUUUACGAUGUAAACUCUAUCCCGGAGCAACGCCGUGGAGGGACAUGCGACCGGCCCGGUCGUCCCGAGGAGGCGGCUUGACUUUGUCAGCAAUGGCAAAGCUAGAUAGAUGGCUGUCAAGACAGAACCCGGCUUACAGCCCC